Molecule: unclassified non-coding RNA, 220 nt
Filed under: uncultured Thelephoraceae
Lineage: Eukaryota; Fungi; Basidiomycota; Agaricomycetes; Thelephorales; Thelephoraceae
Description: sequence contains ITS2
Source: RNAcentral
ACACCUCAACUCUCAUGGCUUGCCAUGAUGAGCUUGGACCUAUGGGGGGUCUUGCUGGCCUGUGGUCGGCUCCUCUCAAAUGAAUCAGCUUGCCAGUGUUUGGUGGCAUCACAGGUGUGAUAACUAUCUACGCUUGUGGUCUUCCACCAGGUAACCUUCAGCAAUGGAGGUUCACUGGGGCUCAUAAAUGUCUCUCCUCAGCGAGGACAGCUCUUUGAAC